UCAGACGGUUGGAUGACCGCUCCCCGCCUUCGGGCGGGGGGAGGAAAGUCCGGGCUCCACGGAAGCACGGUGCCGGGUAACGCCCGGCGGGGGCGACCCUAGGGAAAGUGCCACAGAAAGCAAACCGCCCAUGCGCGCCCCGCGACCCGACGGGUUCCCCUUGGGGUUCCCCACGCGGGGCAGGCGGCGGGUAAGGGCGAAAGGGUGCGGUAAGAGCGCACCGCGCCCCCGGCAACGGGGGCGGCACGGUAAACCCCACCGGGAGCAAGACCGAGUAGGAACGGCGCGCGGGCUUCGGCCCGCAGGCGGGCUUUCGCGCUGUCGUUCGGGUGUGUCGCGCGAGGCGUUCGGUAACGAACGUCCCAGAUGAAUGGUCAUCCAUCGCCUUCGGGCGGGGACAGAACCCGGCUUACAGACCGUCUGAUCUC
Molecule: RNase P RNA, 428 nt
Filed under: Varunaivibrio sulfuroxidans
Lineage: Bacteria; Pseudomonadati; Pseudomonadota; Alphaproteobacteria; Rhodospirillales; Magnetovibrionaceae
Description: Bacterial RNase P class A
Rfam family: Bacterial RNase P class A
About the family: Ribonuclease P (RNase P) is a ubiquitous endoribonuclease, found in archaea, bacteria and eukarya as well as chloroplasts and mitochondria. Its best characterised activity is the generation of mature 5'-ends of tRNAs by cleaving the 5'-leader elements of precursor-tRNAs. Cellular RNase Ps are ribonucleoproteins.
Source: Rfam by way of RNAcentral